CUUCAGGCCUGAAGUGCAGCAGGUGGUGGGCGGGGCUCCAACAUAACGGGGCGGGGCCAAAAGGGCGGGGCGAGGUGACCACAGGAGGCCAAGGCACUGGCUGAGUCAAGGGAGGAUCUCCAGGCCCCAGUGAAAGAGCUGAGUUGCCGUGCUGAGAAAGAGAGGAGGGGAAGGGGCGGAGCAAGAGAGGGGAAGGGGCGGAGCCCUCAAUUUCUGGCCGUGGCUUGGAUAGAGGCCAUGGUCACAGUCAGAUUCAAGUUCCCAGAUAAGGCCAGGAAUCCCGCGUUGCCCUUGCCCUUAAGUUUGACUAUCCCAGACGGUUGUGGGGGUGGGGAGCUGCCAUGGGGCAGUACAGGUGGUGCCUGCAGCCCCUGGUUCUCCUUUCCCUCGGGGCACAUGCGGGUGUGCCGGUGGUGGUAAGAAAGGGCUGGAGAGUGACCUCUCCCAGUCUUCCUCGUUAAUUUUUUCCUGCCCAACAAUCUUUACCCUACACCUUGCCCUCCAUUGGAGCCGUGAUGGCUAUAGAUGUUUCCGGACUUUGGCCACUUUCCUGGACCUUCGGGCAGAGUUCACCCCUCCCAGCCCAGGUUAUUCCCCUAAGGAUAUGCUGCUUCGAGGCUUUGUUGCUAAACCUAGUUUCACCAGUGUUAGUCUUAUGGCAGAAAUUAUAUACAAGUUACAAGCUGCUGGUAGUAUUCAUGGAUUUAGAAAAGUGCUUCACUCCAGACUCUGGAUUACUUUGUCCCCUUUCUCCAGCAGCCUUCUGGAAGAUUCUCUCAUUGACAUGUCCUGGUUUCUCCCAGCCCUUCUCCCCUGAUUGGUAAGUUCCUCAUGGAAACUCCAUUAGGACUCAGGCCAUGUUCAGUUCUUCAUUUCUCUUUUGCUCUGCUCGGGACCUGUCAGACUUCUUUUUCUACUGUGACCCCCUGUGGUUAUCUACUUCCUCUUUUCUCCCUCUUGUCCUUUUCUAGUGUUGUAUUGCUUUCCCUCAGAAUGAAUGCUUUUUGAA
Molecule: long non-coding RNA, 1009 nt
Filed under: Monodelphis domestica (gray short-tailed opossum)
Lineage: Eukaryota; Metazoa; Chordata; Mammalia; Didelphimorphia; Didelphidae
Description: lncRNA (ENSMODG00000030652.2)
Source: RNAcentral